GUUCAUUAUUUCCCUCAUCAUGUUAGGGUUCUGGGAUAGCUGCUGCUGCACCUGGUCAAACUCAGGAAGUCCAGUACCAAAUAAACCAGAUACCCCACUAGCAUCUAGCCCAUUAACACCAAGACCAGGAAAGAGUGAACUUCCAAGACCAGCUCCGGCUCCAAAGCCCUGUCCAUCAUUUGGACCAGCACCUGCUGUAGUCCCAGAAGUGUUGUUGGAAACACCUGAAGCUCCAAGAUUCGCUGAAGUUGGUGCGGCACCACGAACCAAGUGAAUAGUGUGAUCUGACUCCACACCGUAGCUGAGGAGGGUUUGGUCAUCCUUCAAGAUCCGGCCCUUGUAGAUGAGGCGCUGCUGCUCAGCGGGGACGUCGCACUUCUCCGCAACGGCGACCUUGAAGGCGGCGAUGGUGACGUCAAGGGAGAUCUGGACGGAGAACUUGGAGCCGUUGGAGGAGCGGAUGUUGACGGUGGCGAUGGUGGCGCCCGCGCUACCGGCGUCGACGGAAUCGGCGUCGGUGGCCAUGGGCGAGGAGAUGGCGAUGCUCUAACCCUAGGAAAUGAGCGAGAGGGGAAUUGCGUAAGAGG
Molecule: unclassified non-coding RNA, 587 nt
Filed under: Hevea brasiliensis (rubber tree)
Lineage: Eukaryota; Viridiplantae; Streptophyta; Magnoliopsida; Malpighiales; Euphorbiaceae
Source: RNAcentral